This 538-nucleotide ribosomal RNA is filed under the name uncultured Rhodoferax sp. RNAcentral describes it as "bacterial SSU rRNA". It matches the Rfam family "Bacterial small subunit ribosomal RNA", at positions 9 to 525 of the family's 1533-position model. The record is from RNAcentral. Lineage: Bacteria; Pseudomonadati; Pseudomonadota; Betaproteobacteria; Burkholderiales; Comamonadaceae.
GAGUUUGAUCCUGGCUCAGAACGAACGCUGGCGGCGUGCUUAACACAUGCAAGUCGAACGUGAUUGGAAGCUUGCUUCCAUGAAAGUGGCGCACGGGUGAGUAACGCGUGGAUAACCUGCCCUGGUAUCCGGAGUAACAUCUCGAAAGGGGUGCUAAUACCGGAUAAGCCUACGGAGCCUUCGGUCUCUGCAGGAAAAGGUGGCCUCUAUUUAUAAGCUACCGUAUCAGGAUGGGUCCGCGUACCAUUAGCUAGUUGGUGGGGUAAAAGCCCACCAAGGCGACGAUCUGUAGCUGGUCUGAGAGGACGACCAGCCACACUGGAACUGAGACACGGUCCAGACUCCUACGGGAGGCAGCAGUGGGGAAUUUUGGACAAUGGGCGCAAGCCUGAUCCAGCAAUGCCGCGUGCAGGAUGAAGGCCUUCGGGUUGUAAACUGCUUUUGUACGGAACGAAACGGUCUGCCUUAAUACGGUGGGCUAAUGACGGUACCGUAAGAAUAAGCACCGGCUAACUACGUGCCAGCAGCCGCGGUAAUA